This 4511-nucleotide small RNA is filed under the name Caenorhabditis elegans. Its description in RNAcentral is "Unclassified non-coding RNA F52C12.7". The record is from RNAcentral. Lineage: Eukaryota; Metazoa; Nematoda; Chromadorea; Rhabditida; Rhabditidae.
GACCAUGGAUGCUUGCCGCCGUAGCCGAAUCAGUGUGUGCUCUGAUGUUCCCAUUCCAUUGGCAAUGCCCAUACAUCCCACAAUGUCCGUUGGGACUUGCCGGCGUACUCCAUGCCCCGCUUCCAUUCAUCGCCGGCGUCGAUUCCCGAUACUUUGAGCUUUACGAAGAUCCACCUGAUGACGUCACCUGCUUCGAUUUGGACACAAGUACGAUCAGUUUUUCGACAGUCCGCGCCACUUUCAAAACGUCGAUGUUGCCGAAAAAACCGGCAAAACAGCUGAAAUCGGCGUUGGAGGAUAUAUUUGGAAAGCUGCAGAAACAGGAUUAUUCGACAAAUUCAAAAAGUGAUGGAGGAUUUAUUCCAGUAGAUCAGGUUGUGUACUCCCAGAGGAGAAGAUUUUUUAAUUUUUAAUUUUCAAAAUUUUGUUCAGGAUUUGGUAAAACAGCGACAACGACGAGAGUUCGAGAAUGAAAUUCACGAUGCUUUUUUGAAAUUCAUCGCGAGUAUUAUGAAGGGAUAUCAAGCGUUUUUAAGGCCUAUCAAGGGGGCUCCAAUGACUGAACAUGCUACAGAUACUGGGAAUUUGUUCGAUUUGGAUGGGUUUUUAAGGUAGAAAUCCGGGGUAAAAUUAUGCUUAAACAACGAAAAUUUAGUGAUUUUACCAUAAUAUUAAGCGUAGAAAUUUGGCGUUUUCCCAAUAAAUUUCUCCAAAUUCAGCCAACAGUUUAAAAAAUCAAUCCAUUAAAUCUGACCUUUGAGCAAAAUCAGUUAAACUCUAAAAACCACGAAAUAUUAAUUUAAAAAUCGAGGAAAAAACUAUCAUGUCAAAUUUUUUGUGGCAAAUGUGCUCUACUGAUAAUCUAGGUGUUAAUUAUGUUAAUUUCUUAUUCAAUUAACAUACUUAUCACCUAUGACUAUCAUUAGUUCACAUUUAGUCACGCGUAGGGGGAACCUAUGCCCAAAUUUUCAUUUUUGCACCGAAUCCUACGUGAAAUUGCGAAUAUUGAACAAAAUUUGUCUUAAAAAGGCCGGAGGUUUGAAAAGUUCAAAAAUCCAGCACAUUAGAUUCUUUAAUUUUUAAUUUUUUUAUGUGAAAACUCUUCGAUCACUAAAUUCAGAAAUUUCUGAAAAUGUUUGAAAAAUUCAGUUUUGUUUUAUUGAGUCUCGCCACGAAAUUCUUCAAACUUACCGCAGACCCUCAAUUUUGGAUUUUUCAUUUUGUCUCUUUGAAUCCGGCUGAACGUUUGUGUUAAUUUAAGUACAGUCAUGACAGAUUUCCUUUCGUUUAAAAAAAAAAUUACAGGUCUCGCCGCGAAAUCGCCUGGAUUACUGUAGUUUUCAUGGUGGGACCAACAAUUUUCAAAUUCGAUACAAAUUAGUUAUGGUUACAUUCGAAUUAAAAAUUUAAUAAAACUAAUAUUUUUUUUUUGAGAAAAAAAACGGGGUCUAGCUUUUUCUUUUAAAAAAUCGAAAAUUCGCAAUGAAACUUUGAAAUGUUCUGUGGCAAAUGUGCUCUACUGAUAAUCGAGGCGUUAAUUAUGUUAUUUUUACCAAAAAUAACAUACUCAACACCUAUGACUAUCAGUAGUUCACAUUUAGUCAUCCACUCAAAAAGUCUGGAAAAAAGCCAAAUUUUCAGAUCCCGUGACCGUUCGUCUGCAGACUUUUACAAACGAUUCUCGGAGACGCAGUCUUUUAUGAGAUUUAUAGAGGAACGAAGCUUUGUAUCGGAUAAAAACACAUAUAAUGCAUUCUUCGAUGAUUGUAUUGCAAAGUUGACGAGCGCAGUGGAAGGUGGGCGGAAUUUUUCUGCUGAAAACAGGAAAUUAUCGCAAAUUCCGCAUCAUUACAGACGGUCGAGAUAUCAGUGGAGUUCAACUUUUAGAGCCCGACACAUCGCACAGCCACACUACGGUAGGUUUUUUUCAGAGUUUUUGGCGGAUUUUGGCACUGCAACUUUUUCCUUACGAGGGACGAGGAAAAGUGGUUUCUAGGCCAUGGCCGAGGGGCCGACAAGUUUCAGCGGCCAUUUAUCUUGCUUUGUUUUCCGCCUGUUUUCUUUUGUUUUUCAUCGAUUUUUUUCGUUUUUUCUUAUUAAAACUGAUAAAUAAAUAUUUUUUGCAGAUGCUAAAACAAUUUCCAAGUAAAAUUAUUAUGUAUUCAGUGGGCAAGCAGCGGUGAAAGUGGGCAAUGUAAAAUGAUGGAUUACGGGAAUACAAAACCUAAACUUUUUCUGAAACAUGAUACAUAUGCUGCUUAGAUGCUGAAAUUACCUGAUUUUCAUAACGAGACCGCUGAAAAAGUUUUGAGGUUUUCAAAAUUCAACUUUUUUGGUGAAAGUCUCAGCAUUUAAGCAGCAUAUGUAUCAUGUUUCAGAAAAAGUUUAGGUUUUGUAUUCCCGUAAUCCAUCAUUUUACAUUGACCACUUUCACCGCUGCUUGCCCACUGAAUACAUAAUUUUUUUACUUGGAAAUUGUUUUAGCAUCUGCAAAAAAUAUUUAUUUAUCAGUUUUAUUAAGAAAAAACGAAAAAAAUCGAUGAAAAACGUAAGAAAACAGGCGGAAAACAAAGCAAGAUAAAUGGCCGCUGAAACUUGUCGGCCCCUCGGCCAUGGCAGUGUUUGGCAUGAUUUUCGUGGCUUUUGUGAGAGCAGAUUUAGUAGGUGUGAAAUUUUUCGAAAUUUUAGAGUACGAUUAACGCGUUAGCUGAUACAAGGACGUCUAUGGUUUGUUGUGAUUUUUUGAUUGGAAAAAAUUGAUUUUUUUCUUUUAAUUGCUUCUGGUCCUCUGUUUUACAUGUUGCAUGGCUUUUUAUAUGGGGAAGGAAAAUGGUGUUUUUCCGAAAAAAAAAAGUGUGAAAAAACGUAAAAAGGAGCCUAAAACUCGAAAAAAUUGGCUUAAAAACGUGAGAAAAGCACAGCAGCCGACAUUUUCCUGGUUUUGGAUUUUUUUUGAAAUUUCAAACCUUCAGCGUAAAUUUGAAAAAAAGCUCAAAAAUUGGUUUUUUUUAUAAUUUCAAAUAAAGCAGCCGACCCUUUCCGGGUUUGAAAAAAUUUACGAAAAAGUCUGCUUUAAAAUCUGCUUUGAAAGCUCAAAAAACUACUGAAAUUGUCAGAAAUAUGAAGCAGCCGACACUUUACGGUUUUUAGAAAUUUGCGGAAAUCUUAAUUUUUUUAAAUUUAGAAAUUUCAGUUUUUCGAGACAAAUUUUGCUAAAAAUUUGAAGGAAUUUUGAAAAAAUCUUAAAUCGUUAAAAAAAAUUUAAGCAGCCAACACUUAACUGGUUUCAAGAGAAUUAACUAAAAAUCGUACCUUUUUACAAAUUUCAGUUUAAAAAUUACAACAAAAAAAACUUCGAAAAUUCAAAAAUUAGCCCAAAACGGGGAAAUAGUAAAGCAGCCGACACUUUACUGGUUUUUGGAAAAUUUUCGGAAAAGUAUAUAUUUUUUAUCACAAAAACCUCGGUAAACUCGAAAAAAUGGCUCAAAAAUCGUAGAAAACACGUGUUUUGUGAUGAAAAUUUGAAUAUUUUACCCAAACCUUUAUGGCAAUCAUUCAAAAAAAAAACUAAAACAACAAAGCAGCCGACACUUCACUGGUUUUAAAAUAAUUUUUUUUGUUAAAUUUUACCGCUUCUACUAACAAUUCACACCACAUUGUCCAUUUUUUUUUCACAUACAGGAGCUCACCAAUUCAAAAAAAACUGAAGUUUACAGUAAUCCCCCUCAAACUUCAGGUCUUCAUCCCGGCACCGGAGCCAUUUUUGAAUCAGGAGACUGGCGAAGAGCUGCAAUUUGUCUAUGGGGUUUGUAGUUCUAAAUUUAAAAAAAAAUUUUUUUGAUUGCUUUAUUAGACUCAAAAUUGUCUGAAAACACCGAUUUCAUAAAGAAACUUCUUGAAAACUUCUCAAAAAAUAGUUAUGACGGCUCAAAAAAUGACCUAAAAUUAGUGAAAAUUUGAAAUUUGACCUUGUCAAGCGUCUGGAAACAUUUUUUUUUUGAAAUCACCGCCAAAUUUUGGGUUUACAAGUCAAUUAUCUUGUGUCUUCAACUUCAAUUAGGGAUUUAAAAGUCGAUGAACGGCGAGAUUUGGUAAAAAAAUUUAAAAAUCUCGCCGUCCAUCGAAUUUAAAAUCCCUAAUUGAAGUUGAAGACACAAGAUAAUUGACUUGAAAACUCAAAAUUUGGCGGUAAUUUCAUAAAAAAAAAUGUUUCCAGCCGCUUGACAAGUCGGUCAAGUUUCAAAUUUUCACUAAUUUUAGGCCAUUUUUUGAGCCGUCAUAACUUUUUUUUCUGAAAAGUUUUCAAGAAGUUUCAUUAUGAAAUUCGGUGUUUUCAGACAAUUUUGAGUCUAAUAAAACAAUUAAAAAAUUCGACUACACCACCACCUUUAAGUGAUAAAAAAAUAAAAGAAAAUUUAAGGAAUUCCCGUCGAAAAUGCGAAGCGAGUACUUCCAACUGGAUCGACUUGAGAAAAAUGGGAAAGAUGGGGAAAAGGUUCCCAUGCAUUUUG